GCGACGGUCGUCAUGGGAAAUGUAGUUUUUUUUCCCCCUCUACAAGGCCCGUGCCAGGGUUUUCCUCAAUGCCUUUACCACUGACUUCGGGCUUCAAGGAAAAUACUUGGAUUAUAACAAAUACAGCUGAGCAGAGUAGGGGGUGGUUGGACAUACACUAGAUUCUGAUAUCCUGAGCAGAUCUCCGUGGUGCAGCAUAAUGUUCAUUGGGCAUUGUCAUCGAAUCCACACUACUGCUACGAACACAGCCACCACUCCUAUGUGACACCUUAGUUGGUGCAUAUGAGCAGACCAUGACAGCUCACAACAGGCCUUCACUAACAUCAGCAAGUGACCCCGAUACAUUCUGCUUCGGCUUUGCAUCUUCCAUUUGUGGCAGGAGACCAAAAAGGCCUACCCUGCCCUAUGUGGAGAUGCCAGAGACUAGCCCUGCAAUUUUCUGCAUGCAAAGCAAGUUGCCUACCUCUGAGUGAUGGUCCUUCCUUUUUUCAUCGGCCCAGGCUUUCCAGUAUCAUGUUAUCAACGCUGGUUUUAAUGAUACGUUUUAUUAGCUCUGCUGGUUUUACUGUGAUGGUUUUACAAAGGUGUUGUCUUUUUAUACUUUUUGUUUUGGUUAUAUUAUUUUUAAGACAACUGUAAACCUAUCCUGGAAGUUGUAAAACUGAGGGGCAGGGCAUAUAUAUUUUCAAGAAAUACAUACGACUUUGCCAGGUGUG
Long non-coding RNA from Hemicordylus capensis (graceful crag lizard), 716 nucleotides. RefSeq lists it as uncharacterized. The record is from RefSeq and is a predicted model, not a curated record. The transcript is spliced from 3 exons. Lineage: Eukaryota; Metazoa; Chordata; Lepidosauria; Squamata; Cordylidae.